AGAGUUUGAUCAUGGCUCAGGACGAACGCUGGCGGCGGGCUUAACACAUGCAAGUCGAACGAGAAUCCCGGAGCUUGCUCUGGGAGGACAGUGGCGCACGGGUGCGUAACGCGUAGGCAACCUGCCCUUGAAUGGGGGACAACUACCGGAAACGGUAGCUAAUACCACAUAUUGUCUUUGAACCGCAUGGUUUAAAGAUGAAAGUCUUCGGACGUUCAAGGAUGGGCCUGCGUUGGAUUAGGUAGUUGGUGAGGUAACGGCUCACCAAGCCUCCGAUCCAUAGCUGGUCUGAGAGGAUGAUCAGCCACACUGGCACUGAGACACGGUCCAGACUCCUACGGGAGGCAGCAGUGGGGAAUAUUGCGCAAUGGGCGGAAGCCUGACGCAGCCAUGCCGCGUGUGUGAAGAAGGCCUUAGGGUUGUAAAGCACUUUCAAUAGGGAGAAAAGGCUCAUCGUUAAUAGCGGUGAGAGUUGAUGUUACCUAUAGAAGAAGCACCGGCUAACUCCGUGCCAGCAGCCGCGGUAAUACGGAGGGUGCGAGCGUUAAUCGGAAUUACUGGGCGUAAAGCGCGCGUAGGCGGUUUGUUAAGUCAGCUGUGAAAGCCCCGGGCUCAACCUGGGAAUUGCAGUUGAUACUGGCAGGCUGGAGUACGAGAGAGGGAGGUAGAAUUCCAUGUGUAGCGGUGAAAUGCGUAGAUAUAUGGAGGAAUACCAGUGGCGAAGGC
RNAcentral lists this ribosomal RNA (726 nucleotides) under uncultured bacterium. RNAcentral describes it as "bacterial SSU rRNA". It matches the Rfam family "Bacterial small subunit ribosomal RNA", at positions 8 to 722 of the family's 1533-position model. The record is from RNAcentral.